UCGCUAGACUGGCUCUGCAGAAAUUCUGUGCAUAGAUUGCGUCUUGUAGCCCAUUUUAUUUAAUACUGUGUUUGAGUGGUUGUGUUUGCAUAUUUUCUCCACAACGGGGACGCCAUAUCAAAUGAGUAGCUUUUCCGCGGCAAGCGUGAUGGUUUCAUUUUGUAAUCUCUGCCGCAGCUGUUUUGCCUUUGCAUGACAGAUGGCAACACCAUUAUGUGCCAUUUUUGGGGGGACCCCUAUCGCAAGAGGCAAAGCAUGCUUUUGGUUCAUUCUGCAUAGAACAGACAGGCAUUUUGCCCAAGCAUAGUAUAAAGCAAACUCCCUGCCAAGUGACACAUGACAGGCAAACAGCAUCAAAAGUAGGAUAUGAUUAAAGAGUGACUCUGGUAAUGGGACUCCCGCGUUGUGUCCUACCUGCUGCAUGCUUCAUCUAUGAUGUUUUAAACAUUUUUCUUAUUUGUUUUUUGCAUUGUGCAUUUGCACCAGUUAGCUAAAAAAUCUAUUCGGAAAUGCUGUUUCAAAACUGGAACGUGGAAGAGUCAGUGCUUUGGCAGAAUGGUCGUGUAUCCUCCUCAUAGGGCGGCAGAAUGAUUGGCACAUUAAAUUGACAUGUAGUGUUUUAUUCUCUGUUUUACCAGCAGAUUUGGCCAAGACACCUGCCGCCUUGGAGCGUCAGGGGCAGGUGGACGCCAAUUCCUCCUCUGGUGAUUGGACCAUCAAAAGCAGCGAUAACAACUCUGUUGAUGGAACUCCUGUGGCAGGGAGUGAAGAAAGCACUGUUGCUUCUGUUUCGAGCGAUAUUGGAAUUCCACUGCUAGUCAUCAAGCAAGAACCGUUGGAGGAAUACGAGAAUGCACAGUUUGAAGAGCCGGAGGAAGAGCAGCUGCCCUGCGGUACCAGGUCACAGCAAAGCGAGGAGGACGGCGUCGAGUUGGACGACAACUUGACCACUUGUUUUGUUUGUGGCGAGCCUUUCGGAGCUAAUCACCUGUUAAGGCGCGCUGCCUAUCAUGCGGAGCAUCGACUUCGAUACACGUGCCACCUGUGUCCGUUGAGGUUUGGCAAGCAGUACCUGCUCACACGGCAUCUGAAGCAACACAACUAGUACUAGCAGUUGUGUGUUUAUAAGCUGGGCGCUCUCAAACUUCAUUGGCCUGGAGAAUUGGACGACUUCUUGAGCAUCGAGAAAUGCUAUUUAUACAGUACAGGCUAUGAAUACAGUAUUGGGUGCCCUUUUCUCAUUCCCACCUGUUGAUCUGUUGACCCCUACCUAAUUUACUUGUUAUGUAAUGCUUUGUGCACAGAACUUUGUAAUGGUAUUGCGAAAGAAAAAUCUUCUGCUAAUGUAUGCAUGCACUGUCAGUAUCCUGUUUAAACCUGCCUGAAAAUUACUGGGGAGUAAUAUAUUUAUUUGUUUAAAACUUGUUCUCCUCUCUUUGAACAUUGCUGCAGCUUGUUUCGUUAACCUUGUUUAAGCUAACUUGCUAUGAAUUCAUGCUGUUGUGUUGAUUAACGUCAUUUGGCUUUCUAAUUGCAACUGUUCAGUGAUUCUCAAGGCACUGGAAUAAAGAUUGUUUGGGACAUUGUAAAUUAUUUUGUGUGAAUAUUGUUGCUGCCCAUAAGCUAUCUAGAUUUAGUGUCAGACACUAGCUAAAAUUUUGUAUUUAUUAAUUUGCUGCAGAAUACACAAGAGCUUAAAUUCGCUGUGAGCAUAAAACUUGCACACUGCUAUAAGAAAACAUUGGAGCGCAAGCACAUAAGAAGAGCACAACUCAAAGAGCAAUGAAAUAAGCCACAAUUUACUUUCUUAAUCAAGCCGCACCAGUCAUUGAAGAUUUCCAGUGCUACCUACAAUUUGCAAGGUAGACAAACAGCUACAGCACGUGAUUAUUCUAUGAUAAUUAAUCUGCCCGCUUUAUCCUAUGGGUUAUAAUAUGGGCUACUAUGAGUUUAUCUAUGGGUUAUCUUAUAGAAAUUGAAAAAUGCACGCAUCACUGUGAAUGCCAGGUCAGUUUUUGUUUCCGAGCAAGGAUAAGGUAGGUGUCCUGUUCAUGCAUGUCCGUGCUUACAGAACAGAAGGCAGCAGUCUGGGCUGGUAUAAUUCAAGGAUACUUUCCACUCAAUUCUAUUCCGUUCUUGUCAUUCUCCACUCGCGACUGACUGAUACUGGUGAUAAAACAGGCAAAGUCUCACUUGAACCUCUGAGAAAGCAUGAAAAGAAAAGAUUUUGGAAUAGCAUUGUUGCAUUACUCUGGCCUUUGGAAAGCCCCGAUUUUCGCAGAACUCAGUCUGGCAACAUGUGCUCAGCACUGUGAACAUCUUAAGAGGAUGCUUCAGCUAGGGGCCAACUCUAAGGCCACCCAUUCAAUUACAUGUACAAUACAGACAUGCUUUUGUGAGCCAACCCCUGGACUGAGUCAAAUGAAAUUUGUUGUAUUAGAGAAAGAAAGGUAUAAUUUUGUGACUGUGGGAAGCAGAAUAUUUAUUUGGAGCCUGGAAUUUUUUUACAAAUAUUGCUGAAGAUUGAUAAACUAAAAAAAAAAAAGGCAUGAAGACUGUGAAUUUGCAGCUCUGCACCAAAAGCAGGUAUUGCAGUUCUGUAAACCGCAUUUAUUAGAUCAUCCGAAGUGAACUUAUUUUAUAUAUGAAGUGGCAGGUUAUAAGUUAAUUUGUUGCAAUGUUUGCAAUGGUUUAGCGAAAUUGCUACUCAAAAGUUAGUGAUGUACUUCAAAGCAGUGUAUCGUACAUCAAUUUCGUCCGCUUUAGAUUUAUUAUUAGGUACAGUUUACAGAAUUAUGAUUCUGUUUUUCAUUGCUGAAUGACAAAGUCGUGAAUUUGAGUUCAGUUUGCUGAAAUUUAACAAUUUCAAACAAAUUUUUAAUGAGAGUUGACAGCUUAAAUAAAGAAUCUGCUUUCCACAGUCAUCAGAUUGUAACUUUUGCUUUUAAGUGCAACAAGCCUCGUCAAAAUCAGUGCAGUGGUCACUUUGAAAAAAGGAUUUUUGCUUUCCCAUAUAUUUAGAUAGAAGCUUCCGAGCUAAAGCUUCCGCUUAAGGUGUGAUCCAGCCUUUGUUGCCGUGGUAUACGCAUACAGCUGUCCAUCGCAUGUGUAAUGCAGUAGUCGUGAGAUAGUGGUGCAGUAAGCAGUGGGAUUCGCACCAUACUGCCCCUACAAUACUGUAUUCAUUUUCAGAGCAUAUUGUUAAAAAAAGCUGCCGUGUAUGCAAUAAUAUCGUACAUUCUUGCUUUACUGCCACUAAUUCAUGUACAUUUCUGAACUGAUCCAACUGGCCAUGGCCUUUCAUUGUAGUUUCCUCUUUGUGAUAUUUGCUCUUAGAUAUAUGAUGGUGUGAAGUAUUUUGUUAUGUUACAUAUGCCCCUAUUGUGUUCUAGCUGUUUAGCAUAUUGUUUGUAUGUUGCCAUUCUAAUGUGCCUGCGUUUAUAACUGUUUUUAUUUGUGUUGAUGUUUUUGAGGUCGCAGCUUACACAAGCUGGUUAUUUGCAUCAGUCAUGUUGUGAAACUGUGAUGGUAAAAUGAGCAAAAUAAAGUAUAUUCUGAAAGCAUAA
This 3566-nucleotide long non-coding RNA is filed under the name Dermacentor andersoni. RNAcentral describes it as "uncharacterized LOC126528152". Lineage: Eukaryota; Metazoa; Arthropoda; Arachnida; Ixodida; Ixodidae. The record is from RNAcentral.